This 468-nucleotide ribosomal RNA is filed under the name uncultured bacterium. RNAcentral's name for it is "partial 16S ribosomal RNA". It matches the Rfam family "Bacterial small subunit ribosomal RNA", at positions 28 to 507 of the family's 1533-position model. The record is from RNAcentral.
GACGAACGCUGGCGGCGUGCUUAACACAUGCAAGUCGAACGGACAGGCCCUGCUCUUGUGGGUUGCUCGAGUGCCGCGCGCGUGAGUAACACGUGUGUAACAUCCCCCUGACUUUGUGAUAUCUUCAGGGAACUGCGGCUCUUACCCGGUAUAAGCUCCUGCAGCAUGUUGGUGGUUGGUGAGUUUCGGCGGUUCGGGAUGGUCUAGAUGCUUCUCAGCUUGUUGGGGGAGUAGUGGCUGACCAAGCCUAUGACGGCUAGCCGGCCUGGGAGGGUGACCGGGCACAAUGGGACUGAGAGAGGGACCAGAAGGGUACGGGAGGCAGUAGUGGGGAAUAUUGCGCAAUGAGGCGAAGCGUGAUGCAGCAACGCCGCGUGCGGGAUGACGGCCUACGGGUUGUAAACCGCUUUCGACGUAGACGAAGCGUGAGUGACGGUAAUGGGUAAAGAAGCAACGGCUAACUACGUG